Molecule: long non-coding RNA, 989 nt
Organism: Acyrthosiphon pisum (pea aphid)
Lineage: Eukaryota; Metazoa; Arthropoda; Insecta; Hemiptera; Aphididae
Exons: 7
Source: RefSeq, a predicted model, not a curated record
UUGAUAAAGCAAAUUUCUCUAUGUUAUUUUCUCAAAUUUGUAUCAUUUUUUGACAAUACUUAAAAAACUCGGUUAAACUGGCCAUUUUAUUAUUUUCAAGGUUUAAGAUAUACCUUAAACCAGGUAUAUCUUAAACCGUGAUUAUUUUAAUGAAAUCUACGUACAAUUCCCAAUAAUACUAUAUACAUUUCAGCUCUUCCAUUAACUUGUUCACCUGAUUUACAUGAUAGUAUUGACUACACUUUUUCUCCUGGAACAUCAUCAUAAUUUCCUAGUAAAAAAUCUAGAUAUUCAGAUUCUUAAGUCCUUGUCCUUCAGUUUGGUUUGAAGAAAUACCGAGAAAAAUUUUAUACGCCUACAAUUGAAGAAUGACAAUUUCAUCUCGAAAAACAUUUGUUUUCACCCAGUAGUACAAUCUUAAACAAUGAGCAACACGAGAAACCCUCAUGGACAGGUGCAAUAUUGACAAUAAUGAAUCAAGGGAGACGAAAAAAAAUUGAAAAAACAAUGUGUUACUGAACCUCAAGUUAUUACUACCUACAACAAUCACUUUUGAAGACUUACAAUCUGAAAUACGGAAGUUGUGUAGUGUUGCAAUAUUACAAUAAUGUAUUAUUGUCUACAUCCUGGGACUGAACAACACAUGAAUAUAUAUACAUAACAACUGCUAUUUGUAACCAACAACUUGAGGUAAUUCUUAUCAAACUUCUGAUUGGUAUUCAUCAACACGAAUCAGGCAUUAAAUAAACCUAUUGUGUCUGAAUCAUAUACAGUUUAAAUUAUUAUAAGCAUUUAUAUUAUGGUUUCCACACAGCAUUAUGGCUUUUGAAAAUGUAUAUCAGCUAACAGUACAUCAUUGAUUUGAGCAAAAUGUAACUUCAUCAAAAAUGUAUUUUGGAGAUGUCAACAAUUAUGAUUACCAUAUUGAUUGUACCUUUUAUGUUGGACUGAUCAUUGUUGAAACGUCUAGUGAGUAUAUUUUUAAACAU